GAUGAAGAACGUAGCGAGAUGCGAUAAGUAAUGUGAAUUGCAGAAUUCAGCGAAUCAUCGAAUCUUUGAACGCACCUUGCGCCUUUUGGUAUUCCGAAAGGCACACCUGUUUGAGCGUCAUGAAUACCUCAAUCUCCAUCUUUUCUUCGGAUUGAUGGGUGACUUGGAUGUUGAGCCCUGCUGGUAUGCUAUAUCAGCUGGCUUUAAACUUAUUAGCCGGCUCUGUACUGGAUCGGUUUGACUCGACGUGAUAAUAUUAUCGUUGAGGAUGCAUGUCUCAUGCAGCCGGAAAGUAUCAAAGCAGCUUCUAGCUUGCCUUUAGUGCACUUUUACAUUUUAGACCUCAGAUCAGGUGGGACUACCCGCUGAACUUAAGCAUAUCAAUAAGCGGAGGA
This 395-nucleotide unclassified non-coding RNA is filed under the name soil metagenome. Its description in RNAcentral is "partial contains 5.8S ribosomal RNA, internal transcribed spacer 2, and large subunit ribosomal RNA". The stretch from base 1 to 120 matches the Rfam family "5.8S ribosomal RNA", at positions 35 to 154 of the family's 154-position model. The record is from RNAcentral.